UUGAAUCCCCAUGCUUUCGGAGCCUGUUGAGAGCGCAGGAAGUGCCAGGCCAGUUUUGUACCGAACUAAUUCAUGAAGUGUUUGGUGCCGUUCAUACUAUUGUGCAUGGCGAACGCUAUCAGUUCGCUGAAUGCCGUUUAAACUGCUUUACUUACAGGUAAGUGGGCACUCCACUCGGGUUGAGUAGGCUGCCCAGUCACACACUAAAGUAUUGGUGCUUCAAGCAGGCUAGAUUUUGAUUUUACAGCGAAGCUGUUAUCCUCUAGUUGGUCAACAUUUUUCGUGUUCGCAUCUAUCGUCAAAAUCGUGGACCCAUCCUGGCGACAGUGCUAAGACAAGAGCAGUGGCCCCUACCCCAGUGUGGUACAGGCUUCAGUCAGUUAGCAAAAUGAAGUGGACAGUGCGUACAUUCUCUGUAAUCGCUCAUGCAACGUAUACAGAACAGUAUAUAUUUCAAUAAAGAACAAGCGCAAAGCAGUCAUUGAAACCACGUAAUUGAUGAGGCGGUCCUGACAACACUGCGAUGCACGUGGUGCUCCCUGCAUACAUUUCCCGGUAACGAUUAUUGCUGCGCAAGCUGCCACAGUGAUGGCAACAGGCAACGUGAGGAGCGACGUUCCUAGCAUUUCGUAUGUAAAAGAACCAGCCUAACAAAUGACUUCAAUGUUGUUGCAGCACCGCUAUAGGGGGCAGCGUGCUGUCACAAUUGCCAUUACUCUCAAGCAAUAAAGCAUCGCAUAACCCCCUUAGCAGUUGCAGUGUUGGUUUUCAACACCUUUGCUGGACCUCCACUUUCGCAAGGCUGGGACGGAGAGUAAAUUUGUUCGUAAAUAUGUAUGUCAUAAGAAUAACGAAAAAUGAGCAUGCAGUCUGUUCCCUAGACCAACGCCUUCCCUUCCCCACUCCAAACUAAAAGCUCAACACCAGAAACUGCCCUCCUUUGUCUUGCAGAUCAGUCUGAGGAGUUGCCGCACUUACCGUAUCCAAGUGAAUGUUGGGAUUGUGGACGAUUACGGACACAUCAUCAGCGCAUCGGUCGUCCGGAAAUCUGUUGGUGACCGCUUCAUUGCCGUCGCAACCUGAAAUUCUAGUCUCAAGCCUCGAGUCAAGAAAACGUUCAAGACUGAGUCACAUUAAGCAAAGCCUCCCUCUGAUGCUGUGAGCUCAGUGCGUGGCAUUUUACCAAAUCUCUAACUAACAGACGAUGCUUCUUUCUGCUGAAAACUAUGGUUUGCUUUAGAAAAGUGGUUUUUACAAUAGAUGUACUUAUGCAAAUUUCACUUGCACGACUUUGUUAUGACCAUAACCGGAAAUUGCAAUGUCUUGUAGACUUACCUGACCAAGUUAUCAUGGUACACUUAAGAAAGAAAUAGCGAUUUGUUUUCACAUGAAAAAAUAAAAUUUCUUGCAUGCAAUUCCCA
Dermacentor albipictus is the source of this 1421-nucleotide non-coding RNA. The record is from RefSeq and is a predicted model, not a curated record. NCBI's taxonomy places the organism in Eukaryota, Metazoa, Arthropoda, Arachnida, Ixodida, Ixodidae.